This is a long non-coding RNA of Scylla paramamosain (green mud crab), 2475 nucleotides long. RefSeq lists it as uncharacterized. Lineage: Eukaryota; Metazoa; Arthropoda; Malacostraca; Decapoda; Portunidae. The transcript is spliced from 3 exons. The record is from RefSeq and is a predicted model, not a curated record.
GUGGUGGUGGUGGUUCAUGUUGUAGUGUUUUUUUUUUUUUAUUAUUAUUAUUAUUAUUCAUAUUAUAACCACUGAAGUCUUUUGGUGUUGGUGGUAGUAGUAGUAGUAGUAGUAGUAGUAGUAGUAGUAGUGGUUGUUAUUGUUGCAGUAUAAGUACCGAUAGCAGUAAUAGUACCGUAACAUUUGCUUAACUUGUAGAGUGUAAUUGUAAUAUAAGUAUAGUAGUAGUAGUAGUAGUAGUAGUAGUACCAACAGCAGUAGUAGCGUUUUCAACAAUAUAUUAAUAUAUCAUAACUUUCUGCAUAACUUUUAGUGCGUAGUAGACUAAUAGUAGUAGUAGUAGUAGUAGUAGCAGGAGCAGCAACAGCAGCAGCAGUGGUCUCAUCAUUAACAAUAAUAGCAAUGUUUCCAGUAUCAUUAUCUCCUAUCACUUGAACUUUUUUAUGGCUAACAUUUAAAAUUGUAAGAAUAAUCUCCAUAUAAGGUAUUCUGUGUUAUGUGAUUCACCUGCGACGUCACUGGUUCCUGGUGACUGGUCGGCGUUUAGGGAAGCACGGCUGAUGACUGGCCAAAAGACACGUCAGCUUAUUGGAUGGCGUCACCUCGCCUGUUUCCUUGUUGUUUUUCCUGACAUUUUAUCUUUCUUUGCUUUUUUUUAGUUGAGCAUCCUGGAAAUGUGUGUGUGUGUGUGUGUGUGUGUGUGCUGAAGUGCCUAAAUCAAGGAAGUGCUAUCACCACCGCCACCACAACCAUCGUCACAGGCACUACUACUACUACUACUACUACUACUACUACUACUACUACUACUACUACUACUACUACUACACAUCACUCACUUAUGUAAGAUUUCGGAAGAGGAGGAGUAAGAGGAAGAAGAGGAGAAGGAGAUGAAUUUUUUGAAAGACGUGUUUCAAGGAAGGGAAAAUGUUUGUCUACGUGACGAGGAGGCACUGCAACAACACCAAAUUAUAAGGGUAAAAAAAAAAGUUUCGUAUAUUUUUUUUUCUCUGCUUUUAAACAAAUUGAUAAAAAUAAAAUGAGAGCAAAACUAUAAAUACUUAAACAUUAGAAGGAAAAACUAAACAAGACCAUAAAAAAAAAUGUAAAUGAAUGAAAAAAAAAUGUUAGGAAAAUAAAACUGUCAUUUUAAUUAUCCACUGCUUUGUCAUCUCGUUAAAAAAAAAAUGCAAAUAAGCAGGAAAAAUAUUAGGAAAAGAGGCUGAAGAGAACAUAAUAAUUACAUAUUGUUUUGUUAUCGCAUGAAAAAAAAAAAAAAACAAGAAAAUUAAAAGGCUAACAAAACGUAGACGAUAAGAUGAACACACACAUAUAUAAAAAUGCUGUCAAAAAUAAAUAAAUAAAUCAAAUAAAUAAAAUCCAAAACGACAUUAUACAUAACAGUUGCUUUGUCAUCCCGUUAAGAACGCAGAUGAACACAAACAACAAAGCUAACGAGACGGAGAUGAUCACUGAGGCAAAGCUCCUUCCAGUUCAUUUCAUUUGUUUAUCAGCUUCACCAAUUCUCUCCCAGAUCUCCAUUCUUCUCAUUCGUCUAUCUCCCCUGAAUCUUCCCCUCCCCUUUACCCUUCAAUUCCUCCCCCUCUUACCUCCAUAAUCUCCCCUCCCUCGUCUCCCCUGCCCAUUUCCCCUCACUUUCCUCCCCUAAUCCCUCCAUUCACCUCUAUCCCCCUCUCCCUUUAAUCUCCCUUACUCUUCCCCCUUCCCUUCCUACUCUCUAUCCCUCCUCUCUCUCUCUCCUCCCUCCCCAUCCUCCCUCCCUGCUUUCUCACCCCUACCAUCAAAACUCCCGGUCAAGAUAACUCACCUGGCUACCUCUAAUUGGGCGCAGGUUGGGGAAAAAGUGACCCCAUUGAUCAGGAGGAGGAAGAGGUGGAGGAGGAGGAGGAGGAAGAGGAGGAGGAGGAGGAGGAGGAGAGAGAGAGAGCUUCAUCAGCGGUAAUGACAGAAGUGGUGAGGUGUGAGUAUCUUCAUUUUACCGCGAGUUUCUGCGAGUUAUGAGGGAGAGAGAGUGAGAGGGAGUGUAAGAGAGAGAAAGAGAGCUGGGGGGAGGGGUUGGGAGUCGUAGUAGUAGUAGUAGUAGUAGUAGUAGUAGUAGUAGUAGUAGUGGUAGUAGUAGUUUUUUUUUGUAGGGGAAGAAGAGGAAGUAGGAUUAACAGCAUAGUAAUAGUAGAUAUUAUUGUUAGAGAAGGAAAGUAGUAGUAAUAGUAGUAGUAGUAGUAGUAGUAGUAGUAGUAGUAGUAGAACCAUUAACACCAACGAAAAUAUAAAAACGUCAAACGGAACUAAUAACUUAAAGAUGAAGCUGUUUUUCAACCCUCCUCCUCCUCCUCCUCCUCCUCCUCCUCCUCCUCCUCCUCCUCCUCUUCGCCACACAAACAGGAAGCAGCGCCCACACCUUUACCUGUCAGACGCACCACCGCCGGAAGAGGUAAUGAUUGGCGGAGAAGCGACACC